UACCCUUGGAAGAGGACAUUUUCAUGCCUUCAUGGUAGGACCAGAAUUUCCAUGCCUGAGUGACCAGGCCAGCUGGUUUGCUAGAGGCUGCUCACUUUCCUCACCAGUAUUUGCUCACUCCUUGGGCGCUUCAACUCUCCCAAACUUGGGGCACUUUGGAGUGGUUUUGAUUCUACCAUGGACAUGGCUGAAGCCCCAUAGGAGGAGGAAGUAGGACAGAACACAAACAUCCCGAGUCAGUACACAAAAAUGAACGGAAAAGUUCUUCUGGAAGCAGCAUGGGAUGGUGAACUGGAGGCAUGCCAGGGACUCUGUGGCCACAGACCAGAUCUGCAAAUAGACCUGCAGACUCUGAAAUCAAUUGCUUUCAGCAUAACCAGUCCCCAAGAAGCUGAUGUCCAUUCUUUCUUCCCCUUCUUGCCCUGCAACCU
Molecule: long non-coding RNA, 431 nt
Filed under: Heterocephalus glaber (naked mole-rat)
Lineage: Eukaryota; Metazoa; Chordata; Mammalia; Rodentia; Bathyergidae
Description: lncRNA (ENSHGLG00100033099.1)
Source: RNAcentral